RNAcentral lists this ribosomal RNA (766 nucleotides) under Staphylococcus aureus. Its description in RNAcentral is "bacterial SSU rRNA". It matches the Rfam family "Bacterial small subunit ribosomal RNA", at positions 28 to 776 of the family's 1533-position model. The record is from RNAcentral. Lineage: Bacteria; Bacillati; Bacillota; Bacilli; Caryophanales; Staphylococcaceae.
GAUGAACGCUGGCGGCGUGCCUAAUACAUGCAAGUCGAGCGAACGGAUGAGAAGCUUGCUUCUCUGAUGUUAGCGGCGGACGGGUGAGUAACACGUGGAUAACCUACCUAUAAGACUGGGAUAACUUCGGGAAACCGGAGCUAAUACCGGAUAAUAUUUUGAACCGCAUGGUUCAAAAGUGAAAGACGGUCUUGCUGUCACUUAUAGAUGGAUCCGCGCUGCAUUAGCUAGUUGGUAAGGUAACGGCUUACCAAGGCAACGAUGCAUAGCCGACCUGAGAGGGUGAUCGGCCACACUGGAACUGAGACACGGUCCAGACUCCUACGGGAGGCAGCAGUAGGGAAUCUUCCGCAAUGGGCGAAAGCCUGACGGAGCAACGCCGCGUGAGUGAUGAAGGUCUUCGGAUCGUAAAACUCUGUUAUUAGGGAAGAACAUAUGUGUAAGUAACUGUGCACAUCUUGACGGUACCUAAUCAGAAAGCCACGGCUAACUACGUGCCAGCAGCCGCGGUAAUACGUAGGUGGCAAGCGUUAUCCGGAAUUAUUGGGCGUAAAGCGCGCGUAGGCGGUUUCUUAAGUCUGAUGUGAAAGCCCACGGCUCAACCGUGGAGGGUCAUUGGAAACUGGAAAACUUGAGUGCAGAAGAGGAAAGUGGAAUUCCAUGUGUAGCGGUGAAAUGCGCAGAGAUAUGGAGGAACACCAGUGGCGAAGGCGACUUUCUGGUCUGUAACUGACGCUGAUGUGCGAAAGCGUGGGGAUCAAACAGG